Molecule: ribosomal RNA, 497 nt
Filed under: uncultured bacterium
Lineage: Bacteria
Description: partial 16S ribosomal RNA
Rfam family: Bacterial small subunit ribosomal RNA
Source: RNAcentral
GAUGAACGCUGGCGGCGUGCCUAAUACAUGCAAGUCGAGCGAACAGACGAGGAGCUUGCUCCUCUGACGUUAGCGGCGGACGGGUGAGUAACACGUGGAUAACCUACCUAUAAGACUGGGAUAACUUCGGGAAACCGGAGCUAAUACCGGAUAAUAUAUUGAACCGCAUGGUUCAAUAGUGAAAGACGGUUUUGCUGUCACUUAUAGAUGGAUCCGCGCCGCAUUAGCUAGUUGGUAAGGUAACGGCUUACCAAGGCAACGAUGCGUAGUCGACCUGAGAGGGUGAUCGGCCAUACUGGAACUGAGACACGGUCCAGACUCCUACGGGAGGCAGCAGUAGGGAAUCUUCCGCAAUGGGCGAAAGCUUGACGGAGCAACGCCGCGUGAGUGAUGAAGGUCUUCGGAUCGUAAAACUCUGUUAUUAGGGAAGAACAAAUGUGUAAGUAACUAUGCACGUCUUGACGGUACCUAAUCAGAAAGCCACGGCUAACUACGUG